Molecule: long non-coding RNA, 72 nt
Organism: Hyaena hyaena (striped hyena)
Lineage: Eukaryota; Metazoa; Chordata; Mammalia; Carnivora; Hyaenidae
Exons: 3
Source: RefSeq, a predicted model, not a curated record
GCCAAAUGUUAUGGUUAUCUUAUUUUAGAAACUGCCACAGACACUUCAACCUUCAACAACCACCACCUUGAU